GACGAACGCUGGCGGCGCGCCUAACACAUGCAAGUCGAACGGAAAGGGCUGCUUUUCCUUGUGGAUUGCGGGUACUCGAGUGGCGAACGGGUGAGUAACACGUGAGUGAUCUGCCCCCAAAUUGGGUAUAAGCCCGGGAAAUCGGGUCUAAUUCCCGAUAGGACUGCAGGGUGGUGCCUGUGGUGGGAAACGAUUUUCUAGUGGUUGGGGAUGAGCUCGCGGCCUAUCAGCUUGUUGGUGGGGUAAUGGCCUACCAAGGCGGCGACGGGUAGCCCGCCUGGGAGGGUGGACGGCCACAUUGGGACUGAGAUACGGCCCAGACUCCUACGGGAGGCAGCAGUGGGGAAUAUUGCACAAUGGGCGGAAGCCUGAUGCAGCGACGCCGCGUGGGGGAUGACGGCCUUCGGGUUGUAAACUCCUUUCGACCGCGAGGAAGCCACCUGGUUGGAAGGGUGGUGACGGUAGUGGUAGAAGAAGCACCGGCUAACUACGUG
This 494-nucleotide ribosomal RNA is filed under the name uncultured bacterium. Its description in RNAcentral is "partial 16S ribosomal RNA". It matches the Rfam family "Bacterial small subunit ribosomal RNA", at positions 28 to 507 of the family's 1533-position model. The record is from RNAcentral.